Molecule: transfer RNA, 76 nt
Filed under: Phycisphaerae bacterium
Lineage: Bacteria; Pseudomonadati; Planctomycetota; Phycisphaerae
Description: tRNA-Arg
Rfam family: tRNA
About the family: Transfer RNA (tRNA) molecules are approximately 80 nucleotides in length. Their secondary structure includes four short double-helical elements and three loops (D, anti-codon, and T loops).
Source: RNAcentral
UGCCCCGCUAGCUCAGUUGGAUAGAGCACCGGUUUCCUAAACUGGAGGUCGCGCGUUCAAGUCGCGCGCGGGGCGU